UACGAAGGGUGCAAACGUUGCUCGGAAUUAUUGGGCGUAAAGAGCUCGUAGGCGGUUUGUCGCGUCUGCCGUGAAAGUCCGGGGCUCAACUCCGGAUCUGCGGUGGGUACGGGCAGACUAGAGUGAUGUAGGGGAGACUGGAAUUCCUGGUGUAGCGGUGAAAUGCGCAGAUAUCAGGAGGAACACCGAUGGCGAAGGCAGUUCUCUGGGCCGUAACUGACGCUGAGGAGCGAAAGCGUGGGGAGCGAACAGG
Molecule: ribosomal RNA, 253 nt
Filed under: uncultured bacterium
Lineage: Bacteria
Description: partial 16S ribosomal RNA
Rfam family: Bacterial small subunit ribosomal RNA
Source: RNAcentral